AAAUCUUUAGAAAGUGUUUAGUAUUAUACAGUUUCAUAUUAAAUUAAACGUUGUUAAUAGUAAACAUAAUUUUAGAUUUUGAGUUGAAAGUUUUUUAUAUUGCUAAAUAUGUAUUUUAAAUCUAAUAGAACGGCAAUUGCAAUUUUUAAAAUUGAAAUUGCAUUGUAAAUAUACCCUAACAUCGAAAUUGACAAAUGUUUUAUUUUUAUUGUUCAUCAUAGUUAAAGUAGACUAUAGUACAUAGUACUUGGAAAAAUGGAAUACAUUGGGACCAGGAUGAGUUGAACAUCCGACCUCAGGUUUAU
RNAcentral lists this unclassified non-coding RNA (305 nucleotides) under Borreliella afzelii. RNAcentral describes it as "partial 16S-23S ribosomal RNA intergenic spacer". Lineage: Bacteria; Pseudomonadati; Spirochaetota; Spirochaetia; Spirochaetales; Borreliaceae. The record is from RNAcentral.